Non-coding RNA from Pimephales promelas (fathead minnow), 1064 nucleotides. Lineage: Eukaryota; Metazoa; Chordata; Actinopteri; Cypriniformes; Leuciscidae. The record is from RefSeq and is a predicted model, not a curated record.
AGAACGGGCACGCGGAGGUUGGAGAACCGAAGAAGGGGGCCGCACGGGGCGAGGAAAAGGAGGAUGUGAAACAGAGGAUACAAAGCACAGGAUGGAAGAGAGCGAGUGAGAGAACAAGUGAUGGAGGACACCCGAGUUGGCUGGGGAGAAGAUUGGCUUCGUGAGUGUGAACAACGUCAUUCAUGAAGAGUUAAGUACCUAAUUUCAGAUUGUUGUACAAACAUUGUGAUUGAGUUUAUGGAGGCAUUGUGACAUAUUGGAAGAUCCACACCUGUUUGCUGUCUCUCUCUUUUGUGAAGUUGAACCUGGAGAUAGGAAGGCACAUUUGUUUUCUCAAAUAACCCCCCUAUGCAGUCGCCUUAUCGUCGCAUUCUCCCCCCUCCGGUUGGAACACGAGCAGUGAGUGGAAUGAUUCGGGUCGAAUGGAGUGAAGGCUUAAACCCACUGUGAGGUAUUUGUAGAAUUGCAGUGCUUACAAAUUGAAGUGUUUACGUGUGAAUUGUGGAGGAAUUGCUGUAUACAUAAGUGUGAGGAAGAUUUAACCAUUCCGUUCACUCCAAUUUCCCCUGGGAUCAUCCAGCCCCGUAUGGGGUGGUGAAGUUUAUCAUCCGGCUGUGUAGAUGUGUGCAGAUGCCAAUCGACUCCCGUCCUGAGAAACAGAAAAAGCCAGUUACUCACAUCCUUUGACUACACCGACCUCGAAGACCGCUACCUCCUGAGCUCCCUGGUAGCCCCAAAGCUCCUCUAUCACAGGUACUUCAGGUCUAUUGCUGUGUCGUAGGAACAGAGAAAGCCAGUCACUUACGCCGCCUUGGAUUCAAUGACCUCGAAGACCGCUACCUCCUGAGCUCCCUGAUAGUUCCAAAGAUCCUCCACCUCAGGGAACCUUCGGAAGGCCGUUACCUACGUGUUCUGAGCCACUUACCUGAAGGACCUUUUGUCUGAGCCCCUGAGUGCCACUGCCAUCUGGAAGGAGUAGAGAGAACGCCAGCCUCUCACGCCGUAUGGGGUAUUCUCUUGGAGAUCCUCAUAACCCAUCUUGAGCUCCACCGUUACCCUAAAGG